UCGGCCCUCGGCUGACGGCUCAGUAACACGUGGAUAAUCUGCCCUUAGGUGGAGGAUAAUCUCGGGAAACUGAGGACAAUACUCCAUAGGUUUAGGAGGCUGGAAUGCAUCUAGACUGAAAGCUCCGGCGCCUAAGGAUGAGUCUGCGGACUAUCAGGUAGUAGUCAGGGUAAAGACCUGACUAGCCUACGACGGAUACGGGUUGUGAGAGCAAUAACCCGGAGACGAUAUCUGAGACACGAUAUCGGGCCCUACGGGGCGCAGCAGGCGCGAAAACUUCACACUGUGCGAAAGCACGAUGAGGGAAUCCCAAGUGCUUGCUCGUAAGAGUAAGCUGUUUCUCUGUCUAAAACGCAGAGAGAGUAAGAGCUGGGUAAGAUGGGUGCCAGCCGCCGCGGUAAUACCUGCAGCUCAAGUGGUGGCCGCUAUUAUUGGGCCUAAAACGUCCGUAGCCGGUUUAGUAAAUGCCUGGGUAAAUCGUGUAGCUUAACUAUACGAAUUCCGGGUAGACUGCUAAACUUGAGACCGGGAGAAGCCAGAGGUACUCCUAGGGUAGAGGUGAAAUUCUGUAAUCCUAGGGGGACCACCAGUGGCGAAGGCGUCUAGCUAGAACGGGUCUGACGGUGAGGGACGAAACCCUGGGGCGCAAACCGGAUUAGGUACCCGGGUAGUUCAGGGCGUAAACGCUGCUUGCUUGAUGUUAGUUGGGCUCCGAGCCCAAUUAGUGUCGGAGAGAAGUUGUUAAGCAAGCUGCCUGGGAAGUACGGUCGCAANNNUGAAACUUAAAGGAAUUGGCGGGGGAGCAC
Molecule: ribosomal RNA, 806 nt
Filed under: uncultured archaeon
Lineage: Archaea
Description: bacterial SSU rRNA
Rfam family: Archaeal small subunit ribosomal RNA
Source: RNAcentral